GAUGAAGAACGUAGCGAAAUGCGAUACUUGGUGUGAAUUGCAGAAUCCCGUGAACCAUCGAGUCUUUGAACGCAAGUUGCGCCCGAAGCCACUAGGCCGAGGGCACGCCUGCCUGGGCGUCACACGCCGUUGCCCCCCCAUCUACUCCUUCGGGAUUGCGGGGGGGCGGAUGAUGGCCUCCUGUGCGCCUAGCCGCGCGGUUGGCAUAAAUACCAAGUCCUCGGCGACGCACGCCACGACAAUCGGUGGUUGCGAAACCUCGGUUGCCCGUCGUGUGCGUUCGUCGCGCAUCGAGGGCUCGAAAAAAUGCUCGGCUCCGGCUGGGCUUUCAACGCGACCCCAGGUCAGGCGGGGUUACCCGCUGAAUUUAAGCAUAUCGAUAAGCGGAGGA
Molecule: unclassified non-coding RNA, 391 nt
Filed under: soil metagenome
Description: partial contains 5.8S ribosomal RNA, internal transcribed spacer 2, and large subunit ribosomal RNA
Rfam family: 5.8S ribosomal RNA (bases 1-122)
Source: RNAcentral